RNAcentral lists this ribosomal RNA (465 nucleotides) under Vreelandella stevensii. RNAcentral describes it as "partial 16S ribosomal RNA". It matches the Rfam family "Bacterial small subunit ribosomal RNA", at positions 338 to 795 of the family's 1533-position model. The record is from RNAcentral. Lineage: Bacteria; Pseudomonadati; Pseudomonadota; Gammaproteobacteria; Oceanospirillales; Halomonadaceae.
CCUACGGGUGGCAGCAGUGGGGAAUAUUGGACAAUGGGCGAAAGCCUGAUCCAGCCAUGCCGCGUGUGUGAAGAAGGCCUUCGGGUUGUAAAGCACUUUCAGUGGGGAAGAAAGCCUUGGGGCUAAUACCCUCGAGGAAGGACAUCACCCACAGAAGAAGCACCGGCUAACUCCGUGCCAGCAGCCGCGGUAAUACGGAGGGUGCGAGCGUUAAUCGGAAUUACUGGGCGUAAAGCGCGCGUAGGCGGUCUGAUAAGCCGGUUGUGAAAGCCCCGGGCUCAACCUGGGAACGGCAUCCGGAACUGUCAGGCUAGAGUGCAGGAGAGGAAGGUAGAAUUCCCGGUGUAGCGGUGAAGUGCGUAGAGAUCGGGAGGAAUACCAGUGGCGAAGGCGGCCUUCUGGACUGACACUGACGCUGAGGUGCGAAAGCGUGGGUAGCAAACAGGAUUAGAUACCCGGGUAGUC